UGUGCCAGCAGCCGCGGUAACACGUAAGAGGCAAGCGUUGUCCGGAAUCACUGGGCGUAAAGGGUACGCAGGCGGUCUGGCAAGUCAGAGGUGAAAUCCAUCGGCUUAACCGAUGAACUGUCUUUGAAACUGUCAGACUUGAGGAUAAGAGAGGAAGAUGGAAUUCCUGGUGUAGUGGUGAAAUACGUAGAGAUCAGGAAGAAUACCAAUGGUGAAAGCAGUCUUCUGGCUUAUUCCUGACGCUGAGGUACGAAAGCUAGGGUAUCAAACGGGAUUAGAUACCCCAGUAGUCC
This 293-nucleotide ribosomal RNA is filed under the name uncultured bacterium. RNAcentral's name for it is "partial 16S ribosomal RNA". It matches the Rfam family "Bacterial small subunit ribosomal RNA", at positions 504 to 796 of the family's 1533-position model. The record is from RNAcentral.